GAUGAACGCUGGCGGCGUGCUUAACACAUGCAAGUCGAACGAGGAUUUAACGGAAUGCGAUUCGUCAAAUGAAAUUAAAUCCGAGUGGCGGACGGGUGAGUAACGCGUGGAUAACCUGCCUCACACAGGGGGACAACAGUUGGAAACGACUGCUAAUACCGCAUAACACAAGUAAUUCGCAUGAAUAACUUGCCAAAGAUUAUAUCGGUGUGAGAUGGAUCCGCGUCUGAUUAGCCAGUUGGCGGGGUAACGGCCCACCAAAGCGACGAUCAGUAGCCGACCUGAGAGGGUGACCGGCACAUUGGGACUGAGACACGGCCCAAACUCCUACGGGAGCAGCAGUGGGGAAUAUUGGUCAAUGGACGAGAGUCUGAACCAGCCAAGUAGCGUGAAGGAUGACUG
RNAcentral lists this ribosomal RNA (402 nucleotides) under uncultured bacterium. Its description in RNAcentral is "bacterial SSU rRNA". It matches the Rfam family "Bacterial small subunit ribosomal RNA", at positions 28 to 414 of the family's 1533-position model. The record is from RNAcentral.